CAAUAGCGUAUAUUAAAGUUGUUGCAGUUAAAAAGCUCGUAGUUGGAUUUCUGGUAGGAGUGACCGUGCCAGACUUGAUUGUCUGUGUAUUGUGUUGUCUCCAGCCAUCCUUGUGGAGAACUUUUCUUGCAUUAAUUUGUAGGGAUUGGGACCCGCAUCGUUUACUGUGAAAAAAUUAGAGUGUUUAAAGCAGGCAAUCGCUUGAAUACAUUAGCAUGGAAUAAUAAGAUAGGACUUUGGUACUAUUUUGUUGGUUUGCAUACCAAAUUAAUGAUCAACAGGAACAGUUUGAGGAUAUUCGUAUGAACAUGUCAGAGGUGAAAUUCUUGGAUUUUGAUCAGACGAACUACUGCGAAANCANNNAUCAAGGAUGUUUUCAUNAA
RNAcentral lists this ribosomal RNA (383 nucleotides) under uncultured eukaryote. Its description in RNAcentral is "partial 18S ribosomal RNA". It matches the Rfam family "Eukaryotic small subunit ribosomal RNA", at positions 592 to 976 of the family's 1831-position model. The record is from RNAcentral.